GUGGUUUUUUUUCAAUGGAAUGUUUUUGGUAUUUGGUCAAACAUAUAACUAUGUUAACCUCUUCAAUUUCUUAAACAUUUUAAGUGGUAAGAUGUUGUUGAUUCAGAAAUACAUGCCGCCGCUCGCAAAAUUUCAAACUGCAUUAUCUCUAAAACGACAAUAGAUAUCUCAAAUCUGUUAAAUGGUAAAUGAUCUACAGUUAAAGGACAACAUUAUAGAAAAAGAAUUGGGACAAUUUCAAAGUUCACCAAGGUCACAAUUAAUCAUCAAAUAUAUGAUGCAAUACCAAACUUGAGAACCGGAAGUCGUAGAGACAUGGGACUAUCACCAUUCAACUCAGGACCACUUGACCUUUCAAAUAUCACAAGGUCAAGGUCAUAGUAUAAUGUGAAGUUCAAGGUGAAAUUUCAUCAUGACCUGACAUUGACCUCAAAUUGAAGGUUUUGAAUUACUGAUCAUCUUUGCAGUUUAUAGUAGGUUGAUAUCUGUUACCUUUAAAAAGAUAUACACAAAAUACUAUACUUUUAAGAAUCAUCCCGUUGUAACUUUUGAACAGACGGUCGGACAUUUUUGGGCUUAUUAUAUAAAAUGUAGAGCUCGUGGAGAGGAACAAUUUAUACGCUGUAUGUAUGCAGCAAAGUCUUAUCGUUUUCCUAAUAUGUAAUCUUGAAAUUGCAGCGUAAUUUUAUUUUGCACUCUGUGACCUUUGACCUUGGGUGCAUAUUAAAGGUCACAUGAAUUAAAGAUUUUUGGUGAAGGUCCCAAGUCUCUACGACUUCCGGUUCUGGAAAUACAAUUUUUCUAAAAUUGUACACAAUUUUUCAAGGGGAAUAACUCCUUAUAAGGGUUAAUAACAAAAUGAUUGUAUAUGUUCAUAACAUUGCCAUCUGUUCCUGUACAUGUUGCCGUUUUCAAAUCAAUUCUAUCUCUUAUACUUUUUGAGAAAAAAUGCAAAGGAAAAGAAAUUGUUUGAAGGGAUAUAACUCUCAUAGGGGACAAUGAAAUCCUAUCAACCUCAUAUGGUAAUAAUCAUGAUGAGAUCUACCUAUUGUCCAAAUAAUGUCAUGAUAUCUUUAAAAACAACGAGGGGGUGCCGUGUUGAAAAAAAUCAAUAAAAGGGAGAUAACUUCUAAAGUGGAUGAUGAAAUCCUUAACAGGGUCAUUUGGUAAAACUGCAUGAUGAGGUCUAUCAAUGGUCCAUAUUUGAUCUUGGUAACUUUAACAGAAAGAAGGGGCGGGCAUGUCAAAAAAAUGUUGGAAGAAAAAAAAGAAAAACAGUAUCUCAAUUGUUUGUAAAACAUUGAAAGGUCUUUCCUGUAAAAUUGAUGUUUCGUAUUGUACUUUGUACCUUUCGUUUGAUAUACGACAAGCACACCUUCUGAAACUUUUCGCUUUUUACACUUAAUGACCUCAUCCGUCUAAUUUUUGAGAUCGGAAUUUGAUAUAUGGAACAGAGUAGAUGAGCUUUCGUUUGAUAUGCGACAACACCAUGUUCUUGAAAGUUUGAUUUUUUGCAACUUAAUAACCUAUCCAACAAAUUUUGGAGGUCGGGAAUUUGAUAAUUCAAAUGUACACAUCAUGACCUUUCAUUGUAUAUACAACAACCCUACCUUAAAAGAACAUUUAUUUUUUGCACCAAUGACCCCAUCCAACCCCAUUUUUGGACGACGUCAAUUUGAAAUUUGAAAUGUAUGCUUAUGUUCUUUCAUUGAUAUGCGACAACCUUACCAUCUGAGAAAUUUGAAUGUUUGCACUAAAUGACCCCACCGUCCCCCUGGAUGAAAAGGGGUUUUUAAAAUUUUCAUUUUUAAGUAGAGUUUAUUAGACCUUCAAUUUGAAUAUCAGAUGACCCAUUUGACAAAGUGCAAUAAUGAUGCAAUAUAAUUAUAUAAAUAGAAGUUAUGAAACUUACAAAGUCAAUGCAAAACUUGAAAAUUUCAAAUGAUUUUUUGGUGUUUUUUUCCAUGGAAUGUUUUGGUAUUUGUCAAAAUAUACUAUGUCAACCUCUUCAAUUUCUAAAACAUUUUAAGUGGUAAGCUCUUGAUGAUUCAGAAAAUACAUGCCUCCGCUCGAAAAACUUCAAACUGCAUUAUCCUCUAAAACGACAAUAGAUAUCCAAUCUGUUAAAUGAUAAAUGAUCUACAGUUAAAGGACAACAUUAUAGAAAAAGAAUUGGGACAAUUUCAAAAGUUCACCAAGGUCACAAUUAAUCAUCAAAUAUAUGAUGCAAUACAAAACUUGGGAACCGAAGUCGUAGAGACAUGGGACUAUCACCAUUCAACUCAGGACCACUUGACCUUUCAAAUAUUACAAGGUCAAGGUCAUAGUAAAAUGUGAAGGUCAAGGUGAAAUUUCAUCAUGACCUGACAUUGACCUCAAAUUGAAGGUCUUGAACUACUGAUCAUCUUUCAGUUUAGUAGGUUGAUAUCUGUUACCUUUAAAAAGAUAUACACACAAUACUAUAUUUUAAGAAUCAUCCCGUCGUAACUUUUGAACAGACAGUCGGACUCUUUGUGAGUCAGUGUAUAAAAUGUAGAGCUUGUCGAGAGGAACAUUUUAUACCCUGUAAGUAUGCAGCGAACUCUUAUCGUUUUCUUAAUAUGAAGCUUGAAAUUGCAGCGUAAUUUUUUUUGCACUCGGUGACCUUUGACUUGUGCAAAUAAAGGUCACAUGAACUUAAGAUUAUUGGGUAGGUCCCAAGUCUUACGACUUCCGGUUCUCGAAUACAAUUUUUCAAAAAUUGGGUAUUUUUUCAAGGGAAAUACUCCUUAUAAGGGUUAACAACAAAAUGAUGUAUAUGUAAUUAACAUUGCCAUCUGGUCUGUACAUGUUGCCGUUUUCAAAUCGAUUCUAUCUUGAAUACUUUUUUGAAGAAAAAUGUAAAAGAAAAGAAAUUGCUUCAAGGGACAUAACUCUCAUAGGGAAUGAUGAAAUCCUUAGCAGCCUCAUAUGGUAACACAUCUGAUGAGAUCUAACUAUUGUCCAAAUAAGGUCAUGAUAUCUUUAAAAACAACGAGGGGGGGCCAUGUCGAAAAAAACCAUUAAAAGGGAGAUAACUCUAAAGGGGAUGAUGAAAUCCUACACAGCCUCAUUGUAAUACUUCAUGAUGAGGUCUACCGAUGGUCCAUAUUUGGUCUUGAUAACUCCAAUAGAAACAAGGGGAGGCCAUGUUAAAACAAAUGCUGGAUGAAAAAAAAAAAAAAAAAAAAAAAAAAAAACAGGAGAAACUAGUAUCUCAAUUGUUUGUAAACAAUUGAAGGUCUUUCCUGUAAAAGUGAUGUUUUCGUAAUGUUCUUUGUACGACUUUCGUUUGAUAUAUGACAAGCAUACUUCUGAAACUUUCGCUUUUUACACUAAUGACCUCAUCCGCCUACAUUUUUGAGAUCGGAAUAUAUAUAUGUAAACAGGUAGAUGAGCUUUCAUUUGAUAUGCGACAACGCCAUGUUCUAAGAAAAGUUUGAUUUUGCACUUAAUAACCCUAUCCAACUAAUUUUUGGAGGUCGGGCUUUGAUAUUCAAAUGUACACAUCAUGACCUUUCAUUUAUAUACAACAACCCUACCUUAAAAGAACAUUUAUUUUUUCACUCAUGACCCCAUCCAACCCAUUUUUGGAGACGUCAAUUUGAAAUUUGAAAUGUAUGCUUUAUGUUCUUUCAUUUGAUAUGCGACACCUUACCAUCUGAGAAAUUUGAAUGUUUGCACUAAAUGACCCCACCCGUCCCCUGGGAUGAAGAGGGGGUUUAAAAUUUUCAUUUUAAGUAGAGUUUAUUAGACCUUCAAUUUGAUAUAUCAGAUGACCCCAUUUGACAAAGUGCAAAUAAUGAUGCAAUAUCAACUAUAUAAAUAGAAGUUAUGAAACUUACAAAGUCAAUGCAAAACUUGAAAAUUUCAAAUUAAAUUUUUGGCGUUUUUUCCAUGGAAUGUUUUUGGUAUUUGGGCAAAUAUAACUAUGUUAACCUCUUCAUUUCUAAACAUUUUAAGUGGUAAGCUCUUGUUGAUUCAGAAAUACAUGCCUCCGCUUCGCAAAACUUCAAACUGCAUUAUCUCUAAAACGACAAUAGAUAUCUCAAAUCUGUUAAAUGAUAAAUGAUCUACAGUUGAAAGACAACAUUAUAGAAAAAGAAUUGGACAAUUUCAAAAGUUCACCAAGGUCACAAUUAAUCAUCAAAUAUAUGAUGCAAUACAAAACUUAGAACCGGAAGUCGCAGAGACAUGGGACUACACCAAUCAACUCAAGACCACUUGACCUUUCAAUCACAAGGUCAAGGUCAUAGUAAAUGUGAAGGUCAAGGUGAAAUUUCAUCAUGACCUGACAUUGACCUCAAAUUGAAGGUCUUGAAUUACUGAUCAUCUUUGCACUUUAGUAGGUUGAUAUCUGUUACCUUUAAAAAGAUAUACACACAAUACUAUACUUUUAACAAUCAUCCCGUUGUAUCUUUUGAACAGACGGUCGGACAUUUUUGGGCUUAUUGUAUAAAAUGUAGAGCUCGUCGAGAGGAACAUUUUAUACGCUGUAUGUAUGCAGCAAAGUCUUAUCGUUUUCCUAAUAUGUAAGCUUGAAAUUGCAGCGUAAUUUUUUUUUGCACUCGGUGACCUUUGACCUUGGGUGCAUAUUAAAGGUCACAAGAAUUUAAGAUUAUUGGUGAAGGUUACCAAGUCUCUAUGACUUCCGGUUCUCGAUAUAAAUUUUUGAAAAAAAUUAUGUGAAUUUUAAAGGGAAAUAACUCCUUAUAAGGGUUAAAUAACAAAAUAAUUUAUGUUAUAAACAUUGCCAUUUGUUCUAUUACAUGCUGUUAUUUUCAAUUAAAUUCUAUCUCUAAUACUUUUUGCAAAAAAUGCAAAUAAAAGAAAUUGCUUCAAGGGGAUAUAACUCUCAAAGUAAUGAUGAAAAUCCUAUGCAGCUCAAUGGUAAUACAUCAUAAUUAGAUCUACCUAUUUGUCCAAAUAAGUCAUGAUAUCUUUUAACACAUUUUGGGGGGACCAUGUUGAAAAAAAUCAAUAAAAGGGAGAUAACUUCUUAAGGGGAAGGUGAAAUUCUACAAAAGUUCAUCUGGUAAAAGUUCAUGUUGAGGUCUAUCGAUGGUUUAAUUUGGUCUUGAUAACUCAACAUAGAAGCGGUAGGAGGGCGAGCCAAAAAAAUGCUGGAAGAAAAAGAAAAAAAAACAUUAGAAAAACAAUAAGGUCUUUCCCAUGUAGGGGAAAGACCUUAACAAUAAGGUCUUUCCUCGCGGAGAGGAAAGACCUUAAAAAAAACACUAGUAUCUCAAUUGUUUGUAAAACAAUUGAAAGGUCUUUCCUGUAAAAGUGAUGUUUUCGUAAUGUACCUUGUACGACCUUUCGUUUGAUAUACGACAAGCAUACCUUCUGAAACUUUCCACUUUUAACACUUAAUGACCUCAUCCGCCUACAUUUUUGAGAUCGGAAUUAUGAUAUAAAUAACAUAGAGUAGAUGAGCUUUCAUUUGAUAUGCAACAACUCUAUGUUCUAGAAAGUUUGAUUUUUGCACUUAAUAACCCUAUCCAACUAAUUUUUGGAGGUCGGGAUUUGAUAUUUCCAAUGUACACAUCAUGACCUUUCAUUUAAUAUACAACAACCCUAUCUUAAAAGAAAAUUUAUUUUUUGCACUCAAUGACCCCAUCCAACCCAUUUUUGGGAGACGUCAAUUUUAAAUUUGAAAUGUACGCUUUAUGUUCUUUCAUUUGAUAUGCGACAACCUUACCAUCUGAGAAAUUUGAAUGUUUGCACUAAAUGACCCCACCCGUCCUCCUGGGAUGAAAAGGGGGUUUAAAAUUUUCAUUUUUAAGUAGAGUACAUUUAGACCUUCAAUUUGAUAUAUCAGAUGACCCCAUUUGAUAAAGUGCAAAAAAUGAUGCAAUAUCAACUAUAUAAAUAGAAGUUAUGAAACUUACAAAGUCAAUGCAAAACUUGAAAAUUUCAAAUUGAAUUUUUGGCGUUUUUUUCCAUGGAAUGUUUUUGGUAUUUGGUCAAACAUAUAACUAUGUUAACCUCUUCAAUUUCUUAAACAUUUUAAGAGGUACGCUCUUGUUGAUUCAGAAAUACAUGCCUCCGCUCGCAAAACUUCAAACUGCAUUAUCUCUACAGCAACAAUAGAUAUCUCAAAUCUGUUAAAUGAUAAAUGAUCUACAGUUGAAGGACAACAUUAUAGAAAAAGAAUUGGGACAAUUUCAAAGUUCACCAAGGUCACAAUUAAUCAUCAAAUAUAUGAUGCAAUACCAAACUUAAGAACCGGAAGUCGUAGAGACACGGGACUAGCACCAUUCAACUCAGGAUCACUUGACCAUUCAAAUAUCACAAGGUCAAGGUCAUAGUAUACUGUGAAGGUCAAGGUGAAAUUUCAUCAUGACCUGACAUUGACCUCAAAUUGAAGGUCUUGAAUUACUGAUCAUCUUUGCAGUUUAUAGUAGGUUGAUAUCUGUUACCUUUAAAAAGAUAUACACAAAAUACUAUACUUUUAAGAAUCAUCCCGUUGUAACUUUUGAAUAGACGGUCGGACCUUUAUGGGCUUAUAAUAUAAAAUGUAGAGCUCGUCGAGAGGAACAUUUUAUACGCUGUAUGUAUGCAGCAAAGUCUUAUCGUUUUCCUAAUAUGUAAGCUUGAAAUUGCAGCGUAAUUUUAUUUUGCACUCUGGUGACCUUUGACCUUGGGUGCAUAUUAAAGGUCACAUGAAAUAAAGAUUAUUGGGGAAGGUCCCAAGUCUCUAUGACUUCCGGUUCUUGAAAUACAAUUUUUCUAAAAUUGAACACAAUUUUUUCAAGGGGAAAUAACUCCUUAUAAGGGUAUAGUAACAAAUUAAUUGUUUAUGUUUAUAAACAUUGCCAUCUGUUCUUGUACAUGCUGCCAUUUUCAAAUCGAUUCUAUCUGGAAUACUUUUGAGAAAAAUGCAAAGAAAGAAAUUGCUUUCAAGGGGAUAUAACUCUCAUAGGGGAUGAUGAAAUCCUAUUAGCAGCCUCAUAUGGUAAUACAUCAUGAUGAGAUCUAACUAUUGUCCAAAUAAGGUCAUGAUAUCUUUUAAAACAUUUAGGGGGGGGCAUGUUGAAAAAAAUCAAUAAAAGGGAGAUAACUUCUAAAGGGGAUGAUGAAAUCCUACAAAAGUUCAUCUGGUAAAAGUUCAUGAUGAGGUCUAUCGAUGGUUCCAUAUUUGGUCUUGAUAACUUCCAAUAGAAAGCGGUAGGAGGGCCCUGUCAAACAAAUGCUUGGAAGAAAAAAAAAAAAGAAAAAAAAAAAACAUUAGAAAAACAAUAAGGUCUUUCCUCGCGGAGAGGGAAAGACCUUAAUUAAAUCUCCCAUAAAAGGGUCUUUCCUCGCGGAGAGGAAAGACCUUAACUAGUAUCUCAAUUGUUUGUAAAACAAUUGAAAGGUCUUUCCUGUAAAAGUGAUGUUUUCGUAUUGUACUUUGUACGACCUUUUCGUUUGAUAUACGACAAGCACACCUUCUGAAACUUUUCGCUUUUUACACUUAAUGACCUCAUUUUUUGAGAUCGGAAUUAUGAUAUAUGGAACAGGUAGAAUGAGCUUCGUUUGAUAUGCGACAACACCAUGUUCUUGAAGUUUGAUUUUUUGCACUUAAUACUAUCCAACAAAUUUUGGAGGUCGGGAAUUUGAUAUUUCAAAUGUACACAUCAUGACCUUUCAUUUGAAUACAACAACCCUACCUUAAAAGAACAUUUAUUUUUUGCACUCAAUGACCCAUCCAACCCAUUUUUGGGAGACGUCAAUUUGAAAUUUGAAAUGUACGCUUUAUGUUCUUCAUUUGAAUGCGACAACCUUACCAUCUGAGAAAUUUGAAUGUUUGCACUAAAUGACCCCACCCGUCCCCCUGGAUGAAAAGGGUUUAAAUUUUCAUUUUAAGUAGAGUUUAUUAAGACCUUCAAUUUGAUAUAUCAGAUGACCCAUGACAAAGGCAAAAAAUAUGCAAUACAACUAUAUAAAUAGAAGUUAUGAAACUUACCAAAGUCAAGGCAAACUUGAAAAUUUCAAAUUGAUUUUGGUUUUUUUCCAUGGAAUGUUUUUGGUAUUUGGUCAACAUAUAACUAUGUAACCCUCUUCAAUUUCUAACAUUUUAAUGGUAAGUCUCUUGAAUUCAGAAAUACAUGCCUCGCUCGAAAAACUUCAAACUGCAUUAUCUCUAAAACGACAAUAGAUAUCUCAAAUCUGUUUAAUGAUAAAUGAUCUACAAGUUAAGGACAACAUUAUAGAAAAAGAAUUGGCAAUUUCAAAGUUCACCAAGGUCACAAUUAAUCAUCAAAUAUAUGAUGCAAUACAAACUUCAGAACCGGAAGUCGUAGAGAUAUGGGACUAUCACCAUUCAACUCAGACCACUUGACCUUUCAAUAUCACAAGGUCAAGGUCAUAGUAUAAUGUGAAGGUCAAGGUGAAAUUUCAUCAUGACCUGACAAUUGACCUCAAAAUUAAGGUCUUGAAUUACUGAUCAUCUUUGCAGUUUAUAGUAGGUUGAUAUCUGUUACCUUUAAAAAGAUAUACACACAAUACUAUACUUUUAAGAAUCAUCCCGUCGUAACUUUUGAACAGACAGUCGGACACUUUUGAGCUC
This 8572-nucleotide long non-coding RNA is filed under the name Mytilus galloprovincialis (Mediterranean mussel). The record is from RNAcentral. Lineage: Eukaryota; Metazoa; Mollusca; Bivalvia; Mytilida; Mytilidae.